Molecule: long non-coding RNA, 2621 nt
Filed under: Xyrichtys novacula (pearly razorfish)
Lineage: Eukaryota; Metazoa; Chordata; Actinopteri; Labriformes; Labridae
Source: RNAcentral
UUUGUGGUUUAAGGAGCUCUAGUGACCUCCAUGUAUUUCGUAAAGGUUAAUAAUUGGAUUUGAAUGAAAGCUACAAAUGAUCCCUUUAAAAUGACACCAAACACAAUAUUAAUAAACAUUGGGAGGUGCCCUAACUAUGAGUCUAAACCAGGAUGGACAACAGCGUCUAAUAUCCAAUUAACCAUGGGGAGGGGGGUUAACUUGGAGGAGGAAAUAUAGAAAACCAGGGGCCUUAUUUGAAGGGCAACCGGUGGAUUCUUGUUUUGGACACCUUGAAAAUACCUGGUUGCCCACUUUUCCUCAAAAAUACCUACAGGGUCACAUGAUUCUGAAGUUACAGCCCAGUCUAAAAUGCCUGUGAGGAGCUAGUGACCCUUGGCUACACAACAGGAUGUAGGGCAGCCUAAUGCAGCUCUAAGCCAAACCCAUACACUGCAUCUUAUCAGUGCAGAAAGUUAAGUGACCUUUGCAUGAAUUUUUAAUGCACUGAAAGGAAAAAAAAUAUGAUCACAAAGAAUUGUAAUGCUUUUUUGAUUCAAUCAUUACUAUUCAUACUUGUAAUUAGUUGCCAUGUUCAGUGAAUUUUACUGAUUGAUUAAAAGGAUGAAAACUGUCUACCUGGUCUUUGAUAAUUACUGAAUUAGUAUUAGUAAUAAUAUCAUUACAUCUAAACAAUCGGUGUGGGGAUUUUUUACAUAAUGCUGGUCCAAAGAAUGAAUGGAGGUGAAAGGGCCUGGGCCGGUUACUGCUAUUUUAAGGCUCACAGUGACCUCUCACAAAGAAAUAGAGUGGGUAUAUCAUACAUUUCCUUAAUCCUCAAAGUUCAUUUAGUAUUGAAAUUGUUGGCUUUUGGGUCUUUAAUAUCCCUUGAUCCCAUAGGGAUAAAAGAAACUAUAUAGUUCAGGCAUAAACUGUGGAAAAAAAAUGUGUAAUUUAUGGUUUAAUUUAUGUGUUUUUCAGAAAGAUACAACCAUGGGCUUAAAUGAAAGGCUAGAAGGUCCCCUUUACAAUGAUACCAAACAAUUAUAUAUAAAUUCUGAACAAAUAGGAAAUUGAUAGCUAUUUUUAGCAUUGGGCGAUUUAUCAAUAAUUAUGCUAAUUAAUCAAUAAUUAUGACUAAACAGUAACUUUUACAGCUAGGCAACUGGCAAAAAUGGAUAAAACACAAAAAAAAAAUCCUACAGAAUCAAUGCAUUCUAAGGUUUUUUUUUUCAAUUUUCUGUCCUGACUUUUAUCCCUGAUGGGAGAUGCCCCCCACCCUUUCCUGAAGAACCAAGAUCCUCGCCUAAACCUCUGACUUCUCAAAACUCCACACAGUCACCUCCCACAAAGAGAUAGUAUGGGUAUGUUACACAUUUUCUGAAUCUUUUAAGUCCCAAGAGUAUUGCAGUUUGUAAUUUGUGUAUCCCUGAUGCCCCUGGGUGACAUAUGGCCAAAAGAAAGUAUAUCAUGUAGGCGAAAACUGCAGGAAAAUGUGUAUUUUUUGUUAUUUAAAGAGCUCUAGUGACUUCCAUGUUGGCCUAAAAUGAACACAUAUAGGCUUAAAUGAAAGCAACAAGGGUCCCCUUUAAAAUGAUACCAAACAGUCUAUUGUAAACCUUUGAGAAAUGUCCCUGCCAUGAGCCUAAACCAGAUAUACACCAGUGUAAAAAAAUCAAAUUUAUCUUAAGGGAUGGUUAACUUCAUGAGCUGAUAACUAAUAUUUAGCUGGGCAUCUCGAAAGGUUAUCAUACAAAAAUAUAAUCUACAGACAUGUGUCUUUUCAAAAAUCAUGAUGAACCUUUGCCACUCUGAGGUGUACCAAAUAGAGAAAUUCUGGCCUCUGGCCUGUAGCCUAUUUAUGGGAAGUGUACACACAGGCUGUUUGCUCAUGUGUCCAUCUUUUGUUAUACCUCGACAUAACUUAAAUGAAGACUGAUGAUGUGGUGUGACCCAUUGCUGAAGUCAGGAAUUCAUGAAUAAACAGCCCUGAAGCACUGAGACACUUAGUACAGUGUGUGCAUGUAUCCUCUUACGUGCUGAAGACAAAGGCAAAAACUGAAACACGUGCCUUUUUUUUCUUCUGCUCUGAUACCUGCAUGCUGGUCUCUGCUCGUUCUCAUUGUUGUGGGGUGUAACUGUGAUGUCUGUCUCACUUGUUACUGUUUAUGCAAGCGUGACUCCCGUAGGCUCAGUCAGUCCAGCUGUUUUUAGUAGAGAAAAAAAGUACAAUACAAUACAGAAUUAUACUGGAACACCUCACAGGCACAAUUUUUAGAUAAAAAAAGUUAUUAAACUGUGUUAAAUGAUUAGGUAGGUCACACAUUGUUCCAGCCUUUUUCUUGAUCACCAGCAAUAAACAAACACAUUUGGCUGUGGCUUAUCGUCAGGGCUGUUUUUCACGAGGGGAGGAUCAAAUAUCCAACUCAUGAGCUGACAAUAUCAAAUUGGAUUUCUUAGCACAACAAAAAGUGACUGUGUUAAUUCAAUUUUUUUUUAUUUGAUCAUUUAUUCAUAUAGGCAGAAUUAAACACAAAUUCAAGAAAGACCUUCAAAAUCUCUUAAAGUCAUAAAAAAUAUGCAAGAUACAGCACGAAACAAACUAAACUAUACAUAGAUAGAACAUAAAACACAAUAAAGCA